GGGGUUUUAGCUCAGUUGGUAGAGCGCCUGUUUUGCACACAGGAGGUCAGCGGUUCGAAUCCGCUAAGCUCCA
RNAcentral lists this transfer RNA (73 nucleotides) under Citrus blotchy-mottle phytoplasma. Its description in RNAcentral is "tRNA-Ala". It matches the Rfam family "tRNA". Rfam says of the family: Transfer RNA (tRNA) molecules are approximately 80 nucleotides in length. Their secondary structure includes four short double-helical elements and three loops (D, anti-codon, and T loops). Further hydrogen bonds mediate the characteristic L-shaped molecular structure. tRNAs have two regions of fundamental functional importance: the anti-codon, which is responsible for specific mRNA codon recognition, and the 3' end, to which the tRNAs corresponding amino acid is attached (by aminoacyl-tRNA synthetases). tRNAs cope with the degeneracy of the genetic code in two manners: having more than one tRNA (with a specific anti-codon) for a particular amino acid; and 'wobble' base-pairing, i.e. permitting non-standard base-pairing at the 3rd anti-codon position. The record is from RNAcentral. Lineage: Bacteria; Bacillati; Mycoplasmatota; Mollicutes; Acholeplasmatales; Acholeplasmataceae.